ACGCGUAGCGACUCGACACGUCUGUGUGAAAUCGCCCGCUCACUGGCGAGGUCAGCGAUACGAUCGAGCUUGAGCAGCUAGGAGGCAAUGGAAUUCCCGAUGUAGUGAUGGAAUGCGUAGAUAUCGGGAGGAACACCAGUGGCGAAGGCGGUUGCCUGGGGCUUUGCUGACGCUGAUGCGCGAAAGCGUGGGGAGCGAUCCGGAUUAGAUACCCGGGUAGUGCACGCCGUAAACGAUGUCGACUAGGUGUCGGGGGUAUCGACCCCCUCGGCGCCGCAGCUAACGCAUUAAGUCGACCGCCUGGGGACUACGGCCGCAAGGCUAAAACUCAAAGGAAUUGACGAGGGCCCGCACAAGCAGCGGAGCGUGUGGUUUAAUUCGAUGCAACGCGCAGAACCUUACCUCGGCUUGACAUGCACGUGGUACUGACCCGUAAGGGAAGGGACCCGCGAGGGAGCGUGCACAGAUGCUGCAUGGCUGUCGUCAGCUCGUGCCGUGAGGUGUUGGGUUAAGUCCCGCAACGAGCGCAACCCUUGUCCUUAGUU
Molecule: ribosomal RNA, 545 nt
Filed under: uncultured bacterium
Lineage: Bacteria
Description: bacterial SSU rRNA
Rfam family: Bacterial small subunit ribosomal RNA
Source: RNAcentral